Molecule: non-coding RNA, 2138 nt
Organism: Camelina sativa (false flax)
Lineage: Eukaryota; Viridiplantae; Streptophyta; Magnoliopsida; Brassicales; Brassicaceae
Source: RefSeq, a predicted model, not a curated record
GAUGCAUUUGGUCUCCAUAACCCUUUCAAAUCUCCAAUGGUACCUCUUGUAUGGAGAUAUAUCUCGACCAAGACAGCUCAUAUGCUCGCCUUACCUCCAAGGUAACGAUUGUUAAACCAUUUAGUUUACCGCUGGAGAUUCCAUUGGGUGUCUGCUACUCUGUUUUUGCUUCCUCAAUCCUCACCCACCAAUUCAACUCGUCUCUCUCUCUCUCUCUUCUCCUCCCCCCACGCGACGAAGUAGAUUCAGAACCAAUACUAAGAUGAACUACUUCGCCGUACAAUUGAACCAUCCAAUUACCUUUUGCUACCCUAGAUGCCGACGAGCCAGCUCUCUGGUGCUCAUCCUGCUCCUCCUGAAGCACUACAGAGCUCUCUGGUGUGUGUGUGUCUUUACUUGUCAGACUUUGAAUUUUGUAAUUUGUGCAGGGAAAGUGGAUUUGGAUCUAACACGCUUUUGGAUUGGUGAUUGGUGAAGAUAUCCUAACUGCUAUGGCUACAGAGCUCUCUGGUCUUUGCAGGGAAAAUUGGAUUGGAUCCUCUCAAUCAUAACACGCUUUUGGAUCCUCUCAAUGGAGGGAACCCUUUCAAUAUUAAAGUGGGUGAAAACAGCAAUUCUCAGGUACGUAGUGGACAGCAAGAUUGAACCAUUCCUUACCUUUUGCUACCCUAGAUGCCGACAAGCUAUCUGGUGCUCAUCCUGCUCAAGUACUACGAAGCUUUGGUCUGUGUGUGUCUCUCUUUACUUCUCAGAUUGUAUGUGCAGGUAAAGUGGAUCCUCUGAUUGGAGAGAACCUUUCGUAUGUUGUCAUGUUUUAUACAGAUACCCUUUGUAUGGAAAUAUCUCGAGAAAGGCUGCUCAUAUGCUCGCCUUACGUAAGCUCACAGUCAAUGUCACGUCACUGCCCUCAUAGUUAAUGUUGUAGAUGCUAUUUCAAGGGGUGACGUUCCACUUACCGGUGUGCAGUAUACAGCUUCUCUGAGUUAAGGAGUCUGCUUCCAGAGCAAAAAGGCCAAGAAGGUGUUAGUGAUCUAGCCCUUGGAUGAGAGUCAUUCGUGAAGUCAGACCAGAUCAGCAGUUGGUGAAGAUCGUACCUGAUGAGCUAGUCAAAUUGAUAGGUGGAGGAAAGCUACACUUCCUUGCUCAGACCUGCAUUAACUAGGCUGGGUAAAAUCGAAGACUGUUGGCUAUGGAAGAUACAUUACAGAAGGAGCCAAGUGAAGAGCCAAUAUGUUUGUUCAGUUGACUGGUGGACUUGAGGACGCUGCUUGCAUACCAAAGUCAAACUCAAAGGCCAAGCCUUUAUAUUUGUGGACAGCUUCUCCCAGUGCCCCCAUGCAUCUGGUCUCCAUAACCGUUUCAAAUCUCCCGAGAGAUUGUACAUGAUGAGCAAGUCAAAUUGAUGGGUGGAGGAGAAGUAUCUAAGCUACACUUCCUUGUAGUCAGUGGAUAUUUCAAUCUAUGACAUGUGGUUGGUGAUGUCAUACCUCUCAACAUUGGAAAUCAGGUUCUUGCGCAUCGAGUGCUAAUAUCUGGCCAUUCCCUUGCCCUUGAUGAGUCUAGCAUGACUGGACAGAGCAAAAUCGUGUGUGUUUUUCUUUCCUAUCAUAAUAAAACUUGUUGACUUUCUCGUCCCGCUUUAUGGUGAUUCAAGAGGUGGUGGUGCUGCUUUGAGUGUCAAGGAGGUAUCGGAGAAACCGAUUAAACUGGUAAGAUGUGGAGAGCGAAUGGAGGAUCUUGAACCCUUUUUAUCCUGAUCGAAUGGCUGUACGAAUUCUAUGAAUGGCAACAGAAGCUUAGUCUAUUCUAUGAUCAUAUGCAACUGAUGAAGCCACGGUUGGAGACCAUCCGGGAGGAAAUGCAAAACAAGGCGAUGGAAGUAAGAUCCAAUCAGCUUUGUCAGAGUGGACUGGCCAGAGUACUGUUCCAAGCGUCUUCAUCAAAGGAAAACAUAUCGGUGGAAGCGAUAAAGUGAUGGAGACUUACAAGCAAGGCAAGCUUGUGCCUCUCCUUACUGAAGCUGGUGCUCUUUCCAAUAUCCCUUCCAAGCUUUGAUGUAACCGCUCAAACCAGUGUAUGUUAUUAGAUCAUGGAAAUGUAUUGUCACUUAACCCAAAUAAAAGAAAUAUCCUUUCUCU